CCCCCCCCCCCCGUAACUUCUAAAAUAACAGAAUGAAAAAUCUAAUAAAAAUAUAUGAUAUACAUUGCCAUGCAAACUUCCACCGAAAAUUGGUUGGAACGAGAUCGAGUAAGUAGUUUUUUUUUUAAUACGUCAUAAAAUUAAAAAAAAAUGAUAUUUAGGUUUCUAAUAUCAUUUUUUUCUAAACUGAAUAGUUUGCGCGAGAGACACUUCCAAAGUGAAAAAAAUUGUGUCCCCCCCCCCCCCUGUAACUUCUAAAAUAACAGAAUGAAAAAUCUAAAAAAAAUAUAUGAUAUACAUUAGCAUGCAAACUUCCACCGAAAAUUAGUUUGAACGAGAUCUUGUAAGUAGUUUUUUUAAUAAGUCAUAAAAUAAAAAAAUUUUUUUCAUCAAACCCAUACGUGUGGGGUAUCUACGGAUAGGUCUUCAAAAAUGAUAUUGAGGUUUCUAAUAUGAUUUUUUUCUAAACUGAAUAGUUUGCGCGAGAGACACUUCCAAAGUGGUAAAAUGUGUGUCCAAAGUGGUAAAAUGUUGAACGAGAUCUAGUAAGUAGAUUUUUUUUAAUACGUACGUCCAUAGAUUUAUAACUAACCUAGAUGCCUAGUCUGUACAUCCCUAGUGAAGCCAUUUCGAGUACGACAUUAUGUCGCCCUCGUGUCAUCGUAUCCGAACGGCCCUCGCAGUACUCAAGGUCGAGUUGGUUUGUGUACACCUCCCGGUUAUAAAUUAAAAAAUACAAGAAAGAUGGUUGUUUGUGCGGUGAAUUGGUGUCACAACACAUCAGUGAAUAAAAACAAACCGCCUGAUAUAACAUUUCAUGCAUUUCCGACUGAUCCGCUUCUGUCUGCGAGAUGGACGGAAAAAAUUAGAUUAAAUAGGAACGAUGCAAUAUGGAAACCGACUAAACAUAGUCGAAUAUGCUCUCGCCAUUUUGAUGAGCAAGUAAAGUAAAUUUUAUUUGUGGAACACAGGUGUUACAGUUAAAGUCUGUAAAAACGAAACGCAACUGUCACUGUCGCACUUAUAUGGAAACUGAUAGAGAGACACAAGGCGUUUCGUUGUUCGAAGCAAUAGCGAUUGCCACCUUGGCUAGGCCUGCAGGUACAAUUACUAGUACUGACGAUAAAUAGUUAUUUGUUUUACAAGUGGAAAAGUUGUUGUUUAACCGCUCGUGCUAAUAUU
Cydia pomonella (codling moth) is the source of this 1182-nucleotide long non-coding RNA. RefSeq lists it as uncharacterized. The record is from RefSeq and is a predicted model, not a curated record. Lineage: Eukaryota; Metazoa; Arthropoda; Insecta; Lepidoptera; Tortricidae. The transcript has 2 exons.